CGCCGUGUCCCCAGUGCCCGGCUCAAAGAUGGCGCCCGCCGCGCGCGCAGCCUCAACGCGCCCUCUGCCAAGAUGGCGGCCGGAAAUGGCUUCAUCCUCCCGACGGAGAGGGCGGGCGGAGCUGUGAGGCGGAGCGGGGCGGGGUUUGCUGUGCUUUUGCUUCUCCGCACUUCAAAAAUCCUUCCAAAAGCCUCAGAAAUGGGGGUAAAGCUUUUCUCUGUGAAGCGAAUAGGAUCGUGGUUCUUCACCCUACUCUGCGCCCUCAGAAGUGAAGUUGGGAAAUCCCUGCGGGAUCAAGUUGUUUCUCGAUCCUCCAAAGCCCUCAGUGCCUCGGGCAGUCCUUCCUUGUCACCUCCAGGGAUGGAGGAGGACUCCAAACCUCUCCGGGCAGCCUCUUCCAAAGCCUGGCCACCCUUUCCAUGAUUAAAUUCCUCCCGAUGUCCCGAGAAUUGUCCCCAGUCCCUGCCAGAGCCCCCCUGCCCUCAGCUCCGGUGGUGCCGUCCUCUCCCUCACGCCGCCUCAGGGAUGAGAAUUCCAAACUGGAAGGGAAAGGACUCUGGGUUUGGAAGGAAAUCCCAACUCCACCAAGGCCAGCCAGGAAUGGGGAAAGGAGAAUCCCUGACCCAGCGCGGCCCCUCAGGACCCAGCAGCACCUUUUUGGUGGCAUUUGGGGGAUUUUACUUGGAGGUGGAGGGGCACGGUUACACGUGGGCACAUUUUAUUCUCUGGAUGCACUCGCAUUGUUUCUGCUCAACAGCCAAAGCUUUAUUGAUUCCAAACCGUUCCCCUUCUCCUUCUCCAUAUUUUUUUUUUGAACUGCACCACUUUUUCCCACCCCUCAACCACUCUGCUGCUUCCACUUUGGAAUAUUAUCUCUACUUGGAGUCUGUUUUCUCGGAAGAAGCCAACAGACAGUUCAUUCAGAUUAUUUAGUUGUUUUUUUUUCUCCCAAGAUCCAUAUAAAUUACAUGCAAAACAUUGUACAUAGAGAUUAAUAUCAAAAUGCAAUACAGAUCAGGUGCACUUUAAGCUGGACUCUAGGAUAUGGCAAACACACCAGGGUACAUAUUGCUUUGAAACCACCAUUGUUUUGUUUUUUAAUGUCAUGCAUACCACAUAAUAUUCAGUCUUUUGUUUUGUAUUUUGGUUUUUUUUUUUUCCUUUUUCCUCUCGUUUUUUAUAUAAAAAUACCAGUGCUUAUUAUACUGAGUUACUGGAAAAAAAAAAAAAAAAGAAAAACUCAGCUCCAUGUGCCCUCUUCAAAAGAAAGAUUUUUUUUUGUUUUGUGAGAGCAUUGGAUAAAUAUAUAUACACACACAUAAAUGUUGAGUUCAGACUGUAUAUAUAUAUAUUUAUUGAAGGGGAGGAAAGAAACUAAAGGCAGUUUUAGCCAUGGGCUUUGCUGGAUGAAAAUUGAGGGAUUUGGGGAGCAGGACAGGGCAGAGUCAGGGUGAGGGGGGAAUGCUGGAGAGGAAGAGGUGCCAAAAUCCCCCAGUUUGGGUGGAAAAGGAGCAGGAAAAAGCUCCCUCCACAUCCCUGUGCCCCAAGGGGAAAUCUGGGGGUGCAGAGGAGCGUUUUGAGGGCUCCAUGAGGGAUUGGGGAUGGAGCAGAAGCGAUGCAGGUCCAGGUGUCCCCAGAGAGGGACAAAAAAACCCUGCAGGGAUUUGGGGUCUGCGGUCCCAGAGGGUGACAGGAGCUGUGCUGGCACCUCGGGGAUGCCCCCCUGAAUUUGGGAUGGGGUUUUUUUUUAUCAGCCUUCCCCUCGGGUCACCCUCAGAGAGGGGCUGAGCCCUCCAGGCCCUGCAGGUGGGAAAAGCCGCCCAUGCUAAAAUGUGAUUUAGUUUGUUUCCUUCUUGAGAUCGGUGGGGAAGUUUCACUCGGAAGCUUUAUUGCACGGAAAAACCUUUCGGGGAGGGGGAAAAAAAAGGAAAUAAAACCUGAAAUUAACCUCCCUCCCCA
Long non-coding RNA from Cyanistes caeruleus (blue tit), 1959 nucleotides. The record is from Ensembl. Lineage: Eukaryota; Metazoa; Chordata; Aves; Passeriformes; Paridae.